This 135-nucleotide small nucleolar RNA is filed under the name Amborella trichopoda. RNAcentral's name for it is "Small nucleolar RNA snoR74". It matches the Rfam family "Small nucleolar RNA snoR74". The record is from Rfam by way of RNAcentral. Lineage: Eukaryota; Viridiplantae; Streptophyta; Magnoliopsida; Amborellales; Amborellaceae.
AGAAAAGCAGAGGUCUGUACUUUUCUCCUCUGAGCUGGCCUGUCGUAAACUUCAGAGAAAUUAUUUGAACCAUUAUUGGGUGAACCUUUGUAAACUAUACUUGUGAAUAAAGGUUCAAUGAAUGUUGCGAAAUUA